RNAcentral lists this ribosomal RNA (2773 nucleotides) under Escherichia coli. RNAcentral's name for it is "bacterial LSU rRNA". It matches the Rfam family "Bacterial large subunit ribosomal RNA". The record is from RNAcentral. Lineage: Bacteria; Pseudomonadati; Pseudomonadota; Gammaproteobacteria; Enterobacterales; Enterobacteriaceae.
AGCGUACACGGUGGAUGCCCUGGCAGUCAGAGGCGAUGAAGGACGUGCUAAUCUGCGAUAAGCGUCGGUAAGGUGAUAUGAACCGUUAUAACCGGCGAUUUCCGAAUGGGGAAACCCAGUGUGUUUCGACACACUAUCAUUAACUGAAUCCAUAGGUUAAUGAGGCGAACCGGGGGAACUGAAACAUCUAAGUACCCCGAGGAAAAGAAAUCAACCGAGAUUCCCCCAGUAGCGGCGAGCGAACGGGGAGGAGCCCAGAGCCUGAAUCAGUGUGUGUGUUAGUGGAAGCGUCUGGAAAGGCGCGCGAUACAGGGUGACAGCCCCGUACACAAAAAUGCACAUAUUGUGAGCUCGAUGAGUAGGGCGGGACACGUGGUAUCCUGUCUGAAUAUGGGGGGACCAUCCUCCAAGGCUAAAUACUCCUGACUGACCGAUAGUGAACCAGUACCGUGAGGGAAAGGCGAAAAGAACCCCGGCGAGGGGAGUGAAAAAGAACCUGAAACCGUGUACGUACAAGCAGUGGGAGCCUCUUUUAUGGGGUGACUGCGUACCUUUUGUAUAAUGGGUCAGCGACUUAUAUUCUGUAGCAAGGUUAACCGAAUAGGGGAGCCGAAGGGAAACCGAGUCUUAACUGGGCGUUAAGUUGCAGGGUAUAGACCCGAAACCCGGUGAUCUAGCCAUGGGCAGGUUGAAGGUUGGGUAACACUAACUGGAGGACCGAACCGACUAAUGUUGAAAAAUUAGCGGAUGACUUGUGGCUGGGGGUGAAAGGCCAAUCAAACCGGGAGAUAGCUGGUUCUCCCCGAAAGCUAUUUAGGUAGCGCCUCGUGAACUCAUCUCCGGGGGUAGAGCACUGUUUCGGCAAGGGGGUCAUCCCGACUUACCAACCCGAUGCAAACUGCGAAUACCGGAGAAUGUUAUCACGGGAGACACACGGCGGGUGCUAACGUCCGUCGUGAAGAGGGAAACAACCCAGACCGCCAGCUAAGGUCCCAAAGUCAUGGUUAAGUGGGAAACGAUGUGGGAAGGCCCAGACAGCCAGGAUGUUGGCUUAGAAGCAGCCAUCAUUUAAAGAAAGCGUAAUAGCUCACUGGUCGAGUCGGCCUGCGCGGAAGAUGUAACGGGGCUAAACCAUGCACCGAAGCUGCGGCAGCGACGCUGAUGCGUUGUUGGGUAGGGGAGCGUUCUGUAAGCCUGUGAAGGUGUGCUGUGAGGCAUGCUGGAGGUAUCAGAAGUGCGAAUGCUGACAUAAGUAACGAUAAAGCGGGUGAAAAGCCCGCUCGCCGGAAGACCAAGGGUUCCUGUCCAACGUUAAUCGGGGCAGGGUGAGUCGACCCCUAAGGCGAGGCCGAAAGGCGUAGUCGAUGGGAAACAGGUUAAUAUUCCUGUACUUGGUGUUACUGCGAAGGGGGGACGGAGAAGGCUAUGUUGGCCGGGCGACGGUUGUCCCGGUUUAAGCGUGUAGGCUGGUUUUCCAGGCAAAUCCGGAAAAUCAAGGCUGAGGCGUGAUGACGAGGCACUACGGUGCUGAAGCAACAAAUGCCCUGCUUCCAGGAAAAGCCUCUAAGCAUCAGGUAACAUCAAAUCGUACCCCAAACCGACACAGGUGGUCAGGUAGAGAAUACCAAGGCGCUUGAGAGAACUCGGGUGAAGGAACUAGGCAAAAUGGUGCCGUAACUUCGGGAGAAGGCACGCUGAUAUGUAGGUGAAGUCCCUCGCGGAUGGAGCUGAAAUCAGUCGAAGAUACCAGCUGGCUGCAACUGUUUAUUAAAAACACAGCACUGUGCAAACACGAAAGUGGACGUAUACGGUGUGACGCCUGCCCGGUGCCGGAAGGUUAAUUGAUGGGGUUAGCGCAAGCGAAGCUCUUGAUCGAAGCCCCGGUAAACGGCGGCCGUAACUAUAACGGUCCUAAGGUAGCGAAAUUCCUUGUCGGGUAAGUUCCGACCUGCACGAAUGGCGUAAUGAUGGCCAGGCUGUCUCCACCCGAGACUCAGUGAAAUUGAACUCGCUGUGAAGAUGCAGUGUACCCGCGGCAAGACGGAAAGACCCCGUGAACCUUUACUAUAGCUUGACACUGAACAUUGAGCCUUGAUGUGUAGGAUAGGUGGGAGGCUUAGAAGUGUGGACGCCAGUCUGCAUGGAGCCGACCUUGAAAUACCACCCUUUAAUGUUUGAUGUUCUAACGUUGACCCGUGAUCCGGGUUGCGGACAGUGUCUGGUGGGUAGUUUGACUGGGGCGGUCUCCUCCUAAAGAGUAACGGAGGAGCACGAAGGUUGGCUAAUCCUGGUCGGACAUCAGGAGGUUAGUGCAAUGGCAUAAGCCAGCUUGACUGCGAGCGUGACGGCGCGAGCAGGUGCGAAAGCAGGUCAUAGUGAUCCGGUGGUUCUGAAUGGAAGGGCCAUCGCUCAACGGAUAAAAGGUACUCCGGGGAUAACAGGCUGAUACCGCCCAAGAGUUCAUAUCGACGGCGGUGUUUGGCACCUCGAUGUCGGCUCAUCACAUCCUGGGGCUGAAGUAGGUCCCAAGGGUAUGGCUGUUCGCCAUUUAAAGUGGUACGCGAGCUGGGUUUAGAACGUCGUGAGACAGUUCGGUCCCUAUCUGCCGUGGGCGCUGGAGAACUGAGGGGGGCUGCUCCUAGUACGAGAGGACCGGAGUGGACGCAUCACUGGUGUUCGGGUUGUCAUGCCAAUGGCACUGCCCGGUAGCUAAAUGCGGAAGAGAUAAGUGCUGAAAGCAUCUAAGCACGAAACUUGCCCCGAGAUGAGUUCU